UACGUAGGGGGCAAGCGUUGUCCGGAAUCAUUGGGCGUAAAGAGCGUGUAGGCGGCCCAGUAAGUCCGCUGUAAAAGUCCAGGGCUCAACCCUGGAAAGCCGGUGGAUACUGUCGGGCUAGAGUCCGGAAGAGGCGAGUGGAAUUCCUGGUGUAGCGGUGGAAUGCGCAGAUAUCAGGAGGAACACCGAUGGCGAAGGCAGCUCGCUGGGACGGUACUGACGCUGAGGCGCGAAAGCGUGGGGAGCGAACAGG
This 253-nucleotide ribosomal RNA is filed under the name uncultured bacterium. Its description in RNAcentral is "partial 16S ribosomal RNA". It matches the Rfam family "Bacterial small subunit ribosomal RNA", at positions 524 to 776 of the family's 1533-position model. The record is from RNAcentral.